Nerophis ophidion (straightnose pipefish) is the source of this 1457-nucleotide long non-coding RNA. RefSeq lists it as uncharacterized. The transcript has 6 exons. Lineage: Eukaryota; Metazoa; Chordata; Actinopteri; Syngnathiformes; Syngnathidae. The record is from RefSeq and is a predicted model, not a curated record.
GUAGAAGUCUCUCUCCCUCACCACACGCCGCUGACUCAGCAUCAUGUGAUUGCAGGGGAUCAGGUACCUGGGGGGGUACAUGGUGCUCGGUUACACGCCCUGUCGUUUCCUUCACGCUUUGACGAUCACGCCGUCUCACCUGAGGACGAGCUGCAGCAUCACGUCUUCACAGUGCAAACUGAUGAGCGUGCGGAAAAGUGCCAGCGACACGACGCCCAGCUGGGGACAAACGCGGACCAACAGAGAGCCACUAGGGCGGCGCUACAGUGCCCCGCACUAGGUGAGUACCAGAGUUUGAGAAUCACUGUCUGACAUGAAUAAUGACAUUGGUGUACCUGGAAGGGGGUGUUGAUGCGGCUGACCAGCGUGUCCAGGAUGUGGACGUUCUCGUGACGGUGCAGGAGGACAAAGGAGAGGAAGGUCUGCAGCAGAGCCGGCUCAGUGAUGCUCCUCAGGAAGAGGUCCAGGUACGCCGUGGUGGUCAUUACCUCCUCCAGGGUCAGCUAGAAGCCCAGGGAGGUGCAUCUUUUAGUUUAUUACCGUAACGUUUAAAGUUGAGGCAGAGAUAAGGAUGCCUACUAACCUUGUGGAGCGCAGGAGCCAGUACAGGAACCAGGAAGCCAUUGUAGAUGUAGCCCAGGAGCUGGGUUCUGAUGUCUGGGUGGGCCACCUGGGAAGUCACAGUGGAACAAGUUCUCAAGACUGUACAUUUUCAAGCACUUUUUUGUUGUUGUUGUUGUUGUUUACUUGAGUAACAGCGUUGCAGAAUUCCAGUGAGUUGAGAAACUGCACCAAGGAGGGCAUCCUGAGCCAGUCUUCCCUGUGCAGGCAGUGCCACUCUUCACUGGGAGGCUCCAGCUUGGUGGGCAGGGAGGAGUAGAGUCCGCUCAGGCCUGUGGCCAGAACCUGAGGACAAGCUGUUGCAGAUAAAAGAGAAUGGAGUGAAGUUUCCCAGGCCAGCAAAAUGAGCAUCCAGACAACUUUGUGGCCCUAAUCUGACUUGCAUGACCAAGUGGUGCUGCUUAGGAACCCAGACUGGUGACCACGGUGUCAGCCUUCCCACUGCUUCACCUUUGCUGUGUCAACAAACCUGGAUGUGGGUCCAUGGAAACAAGAACCCGCUGGGAGGUCACAUGGUCUUCAAGGGCGUGCCGGGACUCUAACAUCGGACAUAAGAGGAACAUGAAGUCAGGACAACCAAGCGGGUGUGACCGACAAGGCAGUUCUUGUUGUGAAAUCUACCUAGCGACACAUGAGUGCAAGUUUUUGGAUGGGAACAUUGUGAUAUUAAGUCGGCUCCUACCGGAGACUUCAGUGGAUUAUGAGACCUCAUCCUGCAGCUCAAAAAGGCAGCUAUGAUCUUGGCUCCUCGGCUUCUCUCAGAGACACUGGCGUUCACCGCAGUCAUUCGACUUUCAGGUGUGACUUUACAAUCUCACUAAAACACUAUUAUAACA